This is a non-coding RNA of Oryza punctata, 208 nucleotides long. Lineage: Eukaryota; Viridiplantae; Streptophyta; Magnoliopsida; Poales; Poaceae. The record is from Rfam.
AAUAAGUGCAGUUUUGCACUGUUUAUGUCUAACGUUUGACCGUCCUUCUUAUUUGAAAAAAAAUUAUAAUUAAUAUUUUUGUUGUUAUUAGUGAUAAAAUAUGAAUAAUACUUUAUGUGUGACCAAUUUUUUUUAGUUUUUUUCAUAAAUUUUUCAAAUAAGACGGACGGUCAAACGUUGGACACGGAAACCCACGGCUGCACUUAUU